AUUCCGGUCAAAAAGGCUAUUCACGGUACUUCACAAUGCAAAGCGACCAAGUGGUGUAACUCCUGCUGCUCGUGUGAGUUGGAAUUUGCCGUUCUCUGCCAAGUAUGUGGUACAGGUGCUGAUCUCUCAUCAACUGAGAAAUACUACAUAUUAAGACACACCAAAAUAUUCCUGAGGAAAACAAAACUAACAGAGAUAAUAUAAGAAAAGGGAAAGAAGAAAAAUAGAUCCAGGGGAUAUAGACUAUACAAUAGUCUAAAACCCUAUAAAAGAAGAAAGAAGAAGAAGAAGAA
Long non-coding RNA from Penaeus monodon (black tiger shrimp), 293 nucleotides. RefSeq lists it as uncharacterized. The record is from RefSeq and is a predicted model, not a curated record. NCBI's taxonomy places the organism in Eukaryota, Metazoa, Arthropoda, Malacostraca, Decapoda, Penaeidae. The transcript has 2 exons.